Molecule: long non-coding RNA, 995 nt
Organism: Calidris pugnax (ruff)
Lineage: Eukaryota; Metazoa; Chordata; Aves; Charadriiformes; Scolopacidae
Exons: 4
Source: RefSeq, a predicted model, not a curated record
UUUUAAGGUACAUCUGAUAUCAGAGGAUGGAAGAGAAGAGAUGCCCCUUGACAGCAGGCAAAACCACUGUGAUCUGGGAGCAUUUCUGGGAAAUGGCUGCUGUGUGUUUGUGUGGUCUCCUCUAGGCACCUGCUGUUGCCUGCUGCUGGAGGCAGAGCCCUGGGCUGCACCUAGCAAGGAGGGGUGUAGGGUUAAACUUUGACUCUACCUCACGCUGGUGGUGCGAGUCCCUUCUGCCGUUCCUGACAGGGUUUACUAUCUGCUUUUCUAAUCCAAAGGGUCUACACUUCCCAAGCCAGAUGCUGCACAUGGGCCUAAGUAUUUUUAUAUCAGCUGGCUUCAAUCAAACAAGACAUUUAUAAAAAAAGGAAUCAGUUGCAUACGGAAGAUAUAAUUUUCCCAGCACUCCGUAGAAGGUGCAAGAAGCAACAUGGUUUGGAAGAAAAAAUAGGGACAGCUUCAACGUAGACCCUGGUCCACUCUUCAGCUCUUGCUGGAAGGUGUAGACAAAUGCCAGACAAGGACCCCUUUCUGGUGAAUCUCCCGAAGUGCUGUGCAUUCUUCAGCUGUGGCAGGAAAUAUGGCAAGCCUUUUCUUCUCCGACCAAGAAGAGCAAGUGACCUCAACCUUAGGAGCCCUUGCUGGCACAGCAAAUCCAGGCUGUCGUUCCAGACAACGUCCUGAUCUUGCAGGAAGUCAAGCUGUACUUCAUCAUUUCCCUUUGCUGUGGUUUGGCCUCGGACGGCAACAAAGGACCAGGGGGCAGCCGCCAGCCGUGCUCUCGCUCUCGGGCCGGGCUGGUGGGUUGAGACAAAGGCAGUUUCCCAGAACAGCAAAGGGAACAAGGAAAGAACAACAGGAACACUGAGGGAGGAACAUAUAACUGCGAUUGUGAUACCACUGCCCGCCAACCAGACCCGGGACCUCCCAGUCUGCGACCUCCCUCCCCCGGCAGCUCCCGCUCCGGUACCCCUGAGUAUGGCUCCCAUGGGAUG